Non-coding RNA from Pelecanus crispus (Dalmatian pelican), 74 nucleotides. NCBI's taxonomy places the organism in Eukaryota, Metazoa, Chordata, Aves, Pelecaniformes, Pelecanidae. The record is from Rfam.
GCCGGGUUAGCUCAGUUGGUUAGAGCAUGGUGCUAAUAACACCAAUUUCACAGGUUCAAUCCCUGCUUACUGCA